ACCUGUGAUGACUCUAUCCAACUUAUCUGAGAUGUUGUGAAGCCAAGACCCUGCUUCAGGGAGAACCUACUUGGUAGAACGACAUUUAUAUGAGUUCAUGGAUUUGGCUGAGGU
Small nucleolar RNA from Benincasa hispida (wax gourd), 114 nucleotides. RefSeq annotates it as small nucleolar RNA Z278. NCBI's taxonomy places the organism in Eukaryota, Viridiplantae, Streptophyta, Magnoliopsida, Cucurbitales, Cucurbitaceae. The record is from RefSeq and is a predicted model, not a curated record.